UGCUUCUCCUGCUUAGCCACUUCUAGGGAACCGGCGGUUGAGCGUCGGCCGCCAAGUACUGAAACUGUGAGGGCACAGCGGGCCGCCGGCAUGGGCUCCUCCCGCCGCUCUGCAACCGGGCCGGCCUUUCUAACAAGAGCUAGACUUUGGGAUCCUUGAGGAUAUUCAGCCAUGCACUUUUGAAUAUCCAUUCACCAUAUUCAAUAUGAGAUAACAUUCUUAAUGAUUAUCCUCAGUAGGACAGAUCAAAUACAGAGUUUCACAUCAAAGCCAUCAGCGCUGUCAAAAAAUUCAGUUUCUUUGAGAUCGAAUUGCCAAAGCUCCAAAAAUAUGGACUAUCUCCCUACCAAGAAUUUCCGGCAUUGAAGGUCUGGAUCCCAACAGGAUGCCUGGCUCAUGGGAAUAUCUGGAAAGUCAUGUGCUGGUGGAAUGAAUGCUGGCCAGGGCAGCUAUGCCCAAGCCUCAAGCAGGUCUGGGAACAGCAAAA
Long non-coding RNA from Sciurus carolinensis (gray squirrel), 487 nucleotides. RefSeq lists it as uncharacterized. The record is from RefSeq and is a predicted model, not a curated record. NCBI's taxonomy places the organism in Eukaryota, Metazoa, Chordata, Mammalia, Rodentia, Sciuridae. The transcript is spliced from 4 exons.